GGCUCAGUAACACGUGGAUAAUCUAACCUUAAGUCAGGAAUAACCUUGGGAAACUGAGGAUAAAACUUGAUANUGGAAAGGUACUGGAAUGCUUUUCCUUCAAACUCAGCUUAAGGAUGAGUGGCGCGGAUUAAGGUUGUUGGUGAGGUAAUGGCUCACCAAAGCCUAUGAUCCGUAGGGCCCUUUGAUAGAGGUAGCCCCGAAAGAGCACUUGAGAUACUGGCUCUAGCCCUACGGGGUGCARCAGGCGCGAAACYUUUACAAUGCACUAACGUGUGAUAAGGGAACCCAGAGUGCUUCGCUUAGCGAGGCUUUUGCCAAGAGUAAAUAUCUUGGAGAAUAAUGUGGUGGGAAAGACUUGGUGCCAGCCGCCGCGGUAAUACCAGCGCCACGAGUGGUAACUGCAAUUAUUGGGCCUAAAGCGUCCGUAGCCUGUCUGAUAAAUUUCUUGUGAAACUGUUAAGCUCAACUUAGCAACGUGCAGGAAAGACUGUCAGACUUGGGACUGGGARGGGUUARGAGUACACUUGGUGUAGCGGCUAAAAUGUUAUAAUCCCAAGGAGACUACCUGUGGCGAAGGCGCCUAACCAGAACAGUUCCCACGUAGGACGAAAGCUUAGGGGAGCGAACCGGAUUAGAUACCCCAGUAGUCCUAGCUGUAAACGCUGCGAGCAAGAUGUUGCAUAUUNUUCGUGAAUGUGCAGUANCGAAGAGAAGUCGUUAAGCUCGCCGCCUGGGAAGUAUGGUCGCAAGACUGAAACUUAAAGGAAUUGACGG
RNAcentral lists this ribosomal RNA (777 nucleotides) under uncultured archaeon. RNAcentral describes it as "bacterial SSU rRNA". It matches the Rfam family "Archaeal small subunit ribosomal RNA", at positions 87 to 871 of the family's 1478-position model. The record is from RNAcentral.